UAGAGAUGGUAUGUUCUCUUCGGAGACGCGGUGAUAGGUGCUGCAUGGCUGUCGUCAGCUCGUGUCGUAAGAUGUCUGGUUAAGUCCAAUAACGAGCGCAACCCCUGUUCUUAGUUACCAUCAUUAAGUUGGGGACUCUAGGAAGACUGCCGGUGUUAAACCGGAGGAAGGCGGGGAUGACGUCAAGUCCUCAUGGCCCUUACGGGUAGGGCUACACACGUACUACAAUGGCAGAAACAGACCGUUGCGAAACCGUGAGGUGGAGCUAAUCGGUAAAACACUGCCUCAGUUCAGAUUGCAGUCUGCAACUCGACUGCAUGAAGUUGGAAUCGCUAGUAAUCGCUGAUCAGCGAGCAGCGGUGAAUACGUUCCCGGGCCUUGUACACACCGCCCGUCACACCACGAGAGUGGUUAUAACCAGAAGUAGCCG
This 430-nucleotide ribosomal RNA is filed under the name uncultured Planctomycetota bacterium. RNAcentral describes it as "bacterial SSU rRNA". It matches the Rfam family "Bacterial small subunit ribosomal RNA", at positions 1001 to 1432 of the family's 1533-position model. The record is from RNAcentral. Lineage: Bacteria; Pseudomonadati; Planctomycetota.